This 497-nucleotide ribosomal RNA is filed under the name uncultured bacterium. RNAcentral's name for it is "partial 16S ribosomal RNA". It matches the Rfam family "Bacterial small subunit ribosomal RNA", at positions 28 to 507 of the family's 1533-position model. The record is from RNAcentral.
GAUGAACGCUGGCGGCGUGCCUAAUACAUGCAAGUCGAGCGAACAGAUGAGGAGCUUGCUCCUUUGACGUUAGCGGCGGACGGGUGAGUAACACGUGGAUAACCUACCUAUAAGACUGGGAUAACUUCGGGAAACCGGAGCUAAUACCGGAUAACAUAUGGAACCGCAUGGUUCUAAAGUGAAAGAUGGUUUUGCUAUCACUUAUAGAUGGAUCCGCGCCGCAUUAGCUAGUUGGUAAGGUAACGGCUUACCAAGGCAACGAUACGUAGCCGACCUGAGAGGGUGAUCGGCCACACUGGAACUGAGACACGGUCCAGACUCCUACGGGAGGCAGCAGUAGGGAAUCUUCCGCAAUGGGCGAAAGCCUGACGGAGCAACGCCGCGUGAGUGAUGAAGGUUUUCGGCUCGUAAAACUCUGUUAUUAGGGAAGAACAAACGUGUAAGUAACUGUGCACGUCUUGACGGUACCUAAUCAGAAAGCCACGGCUAACUACGUG